This 316-nucleotide long non-coding RNA is filed under the name Amborella trichopoda. RNAcentral describes it as "long non-coding RNA (ATRI_LNC002811)". The record is from RNAcentral. Lineage: Eukaryota; Viridiplantae; Streptophyta; Magnoliopsida; Amborellales; Amborellaceae.
GGUUUUUAAUCUUUAUUGUGUCUAGUAUGAUUUAAAAUUUUCAAUUUUACGUAAUCUGGUCAAUUACAGCAAGAAAUUUGAUAUGAACAGUGAGAUGUCUGCGGAACCAAAUCCCGCUUGUUUUUUUUUUUUUUUCCGCCUUUUGAUUUUGUUUUCAUGAUAUAUUAGAAAUAAUGUGUUAAAAAUUUAGGUUUUUGAUUCCUUAUAUUGUUGUUUAUCAGAAAAUAUACUCAAUUGGAUGUAAUUUAUUCACUUAGAGGUGAAUUUUUGAGUUAAAAUCGCUUAUGUAAAACGACUCUGUGAAGAACAAAUUUUU